Molecule: ribosomal RNA, 465 nt
Filed under: uncultured bacterium
Lineage: Bacteria
Description: partial 16S ribosomal RNA
Rfam family: Bacterial small subunit ribosomal RNA
Source: RNAcentral
CCUACGUGAGGCAGCAGUAGGGAAUCUUCCACAAUGGGCUAAAGCCUGAUGGAGCAACGCCGCGUGGGUGAAGAUGGUCUUCGGAUCGUAAAACCCUGUUGUUAGAGAAGAAAGUGCGAGAGAGUAACUGUUCACGUUUCGACGGUAUCUAACCAGAAAGCCACGGCUAACUACGUGCCAGCAGCCGCGGUAAUACGUAGGUGGCAAGCGUUAUCCGGAUUUAUUGGGCGUAAAGGGAACGCAGGCGGUCUUUUAAGUCUGAUGUGAAAGCCUUCGGCUUAACCGGAGUAGUGCAUGGGAAACUGGGAGACAUGAGUGCAGAAGAGGAGAGUGGAACUCCAUGUGUAGCGGUGAAAUGCGUAGAUAUAUGGAAGAACACCAGUGGCGAAGGCGGCUCUCUGGUCUGUAACUGACGCUGAGGUUCGAAAGCGUGGGUAGCAAACAGGAUUAGAUACCCGGGUAGUC